CUUUGGAGUGGCCGCUCCUGGCCUGCCAGGAGCUGAUUCAACGGCCGGGACCGGGCACUACAGGUGCACUCGGCACGGACAAUAGACGCUUGUUGUACAUAACCCAUGCUUGGCUGAGACUGACCACUGGGGUCAGGUGGAAACAAUGCCCCGAGGAGUGUGGGGCUGGAAAGAAAUCUGUUUUUAUAAACAGCCUAUCCUCCAGAUUUUAAAAAGCAAAAGAAGAAAACAGUCAAUCGAGGUCUUGUCCUGGGCUGGCCACUGAGGACCUACGGAAGAUUUUAUUCACCUAAUGAUCCUUCAGGUCAUCCUGUCAGAGCCCCUUCCUCCAGGUGUCCUGUCCUCUGGGUGCCCCAGUCUGAGAGAGGAGGUGGGUAAA
RNAcentral lists this long non-coding RNA (379 nucleotides) under Cavia porcellus (domestic guinea pig). RNAcentral describes it as "lncRNA (ENSCPOG00000038801.1)". The record is from RNAcentral. Lineage: Eukaryota; Metazoa; Chordata; Mammalia; Rodentia; Caviidae.